This 486-nucleotide long non-coding RNA is filed under the name Sus scrofa (pig). Its description in RNAcentral is "lncRNA (ENSSSCG00005045357.1)". Lineage: Eukaryota; Metazoa; Chordata; Mammalia; Artiodactyla; Suidae. The record is from RNAcentral.
CGAGAGCUGUACUUUGGGGUCUUGGAAGCAACCCCCCCACCCUCGGCAGGAGGAGCUGUUUCCUGAGAUGGCGAAGGGCGUGGAGCCCUGGGAGCCACGUUGCAGCGCUGCCGCUUUCCACGUGGCCUCUUCUCUUGGCAGCGCACGCACUGAAACUGGAAUGACAGAGGCAUGAGCAUGGCCCCUGUGCAAGGAUGACGUGCAAACGUGUGAGUCGGCGUUUCCAGAAGAGUGAUGUUCAGACAAGGAGAUGCAAGCACUGGGGCCACGAAGUCUUCUCGUGGAAGCAUCCGACGCUCUGAAGACCCCUUCGGCCGGUUUUCUCCGGCGCAGAGGCCUCACUCCUGACCUCACCCCCACCUCCUUUUAGGGCCACACCCACAGCAUAUAAACAUGCCUGGGCUAGGGGCCGAAUCGGAGCUUUAGCUGUCUGCUGACACCACAGCCACAGCCACACAGGAUUCACGCCGAGUCUGUGACCUACAG